This 440-nucleotide ribosomal RNA is filed under the name uncultured bacterium. RNAcentral's name for it is "partial 16S ribosomal RNA". It matches the Rfam family "Bacterial small subunit ribosomal RNA", at positions 338 to 795 of the family's 1533-position model. The record is from RNAcentral.
CCUACGUGAGGCAGCAGUGGGGAAUAUUGCACAAUGGGGGAAACCCUGAUGCAGCGACGCCGCGUGAGUGAAGAAGUAAUUCGUUAUGUACAGCUCUAUCAGCAGGGAAGAAAAUGCCGGUACAUGAGUAAGAAGCCCCGGCUAACUACGUGCCAGCAGCCGCGGUAAUACGUAGGGGGCAAGCGUUAUCCGGAUUUACUGGGUGUAAAGGGAGCGUAGACGGCAGUGCAAGUCUGGAGUGAAAGGCGGGGGCUCAACCCCCGGACUGCUCUGGAAACUGUACGGCUGGAGUGCAGGAGAGGUAAGUGGAAUUCCUAGUGUAGCGGUGAAAUGCGUAGAUAUUAGGAGGAACACCAGUGGCGAAGGCGGCUUACUGGACUGUAACUGACGUUGAGGCUCGAAAGCGUGGGGAGCAAACAGGAUGAGAUACCCCUGUAGUC